GACGAACGCUGGCGGCGUGCUUAACACAUGCAAGUCGAACGGAAAGGCCCUGCUUUUGUGGGGUGCUCGAGUGGCGAACGGGUGAGUAACACGUGAGUAACCUGCCCUUGACUUUGGGAUAACUUCAGGAAACUGGGGCUAAUACCGGAUAGGAGCUCCUGCUGCAUGGUGGGGGUUGGAAAGUUUCGGCGGUUGGGGAUGGACUCGCGGCUUAUCAGCUUGUUGGUGGGGUAGUGGCUUACCAAGGCUUUGACGGGUAGCCGGGCUGAGAGGGUGACCGGCCAAAUUGGGACUGAAAUACGGCCCAGCCUCCUCCGGGAGGCAGCAGUGGGGUAUAUUGCACAAGGGGCGGAAGCAUGAUGCAGCACCGCAGCGUGCGGGAUGACGGCCUUCGGGUUGUAAACCGCUUUCGCCUGUGACGAAGCGUGAGUGACGGUAAUGGGUAAAGAAGCACCGGCUAACUACGUG
Molecule: ribosomal RNA, 468 nt
Filed under: uncultured bacterium
Lineage: Bacteria
Description: partial 16S ribosomal RNA
Rfam family: Bacterial small subunit ribosomal RNA
Source: RNAcentral